This 139-nucleotide microRNA precursor is filed under the name Oryza brachyantha (malo sina). RNAcentral describes it as "MIR812 microRNA precursor family". It matches the Rfam family "MIR812 microRNA precursor family", at positions 34 to 172 of the family's 205-position model. The record is from Rfam by way of RNAcentral. Lineage: Eukaryota; Viridiplantae; Streptophyta; Magnoliopsida; Poales; Poaceae.
UUGACUAUUCAUCUUAUUCAAAAAAAUUUUGCGAUUGAUAUUUUUGUUUUUAUUAGAUGAUAAAUUAUGAAUAGUAUUUUACGUGUGACUAAUUUUUUUCUAAUUUUUUUAAAAAAAUUCAAAUAAGACGGAUAGUCGA